This is a non-coding RNA of Triticum urartu, 115 nucleotides long. The record is from Rfam. NCBI's taxonomy places the organism in Eukaryota, Viridiplantae, Streptophyta, Magnoliopsida, Poales, Poaceae.
CAAGUACUCCCUCCGUUCGGAAUUACUUGUCUCGGAUAUGGAUGUAUCUAGAACUAAAAUACAUCUAGAUACAUCCGUUUCUGCGACAAGUAAUUCCGAACGGAGGGAGUAAUUC